RNAcentral lists this long non-coding RNA (1326 nucleotides) under Vulpes vulpes (red fox). RNAcentral describes it as "lncRNA (ENSVVUG00000025475.1)". The record is from RNAcentral. Lineage: Eukaryota; Metazoa; Chordata; Mammalia; Carnivora; Canidae.
UGACAUUAGGAGAUUAUGUCCCCUCCCUCACACACUCAUACAUCCUUUCCAAAUUUCCUAUUGAUUACUUCCCCAGAGUGAAAGAGGCAGGAAACAGGAAUAUCCUCUCAUGGAUGUGGUUGCCAUCUUGACUGGUGUGGUUAGCACUAAAUCCAUUAGCAUUAAUACUCCCCAUAAGAAGCUUUGGAUAAGUAGCUUUAAAACUCUGGAUGAUCAACAAAGAAAUAGAUUUUCUUGGGGGAGGGUGAAUAUGUUAGAAAAGAAGACAGGAAGGAGGCAGAUGCGCUGAGUCACAGUAGACAAAACUGAUCCUGAAAAAAAUAUGGGAAUCCAAGGCUAAUUGAAGUAAUUACCAGGGUUUGUGAGCCCCUGCCUUCCUAUUGGUGCAACUUUCUUUCUUCCACCCUCCCUGCCCCUCUUAGACUCACUCGGUAUGUGAGUUGCCAUUGAAGCUUGAUAGGCCAUGUCUGAACCAGGUGCCGUGAAUGUACCCAAGGUUAUAUUACCUAGAUUCUUAGCUUGUCACAGUGGUCCCCCAAGAAGAAAUCAGUGUGGAUCCUAUAAAGCAGUGCUUCUCAAACCUUACUGUGUAUAACAGUGACCUUAGAAAUCUUGUUAAAAUGCACAUUCUGAUUCUAGAAGUUUGGAAUGGGACCAGAGAUUCAGUCUUUCAGAGAUGCCUCUGCUCUUUGUUCUGGGGCCACACACUGAGGAGCAACAUCCUACAACACUGGUUCUUAAAUCUCUAUGCAGCUGAAGGUUUCCUACAAUGCUUUUUAUAAAUGACCAACACUCCUUCCCAGAUCAAUGAAAUCAGAAUGGGGAGAGGGGGGUGAGCUGCCAAGUCUUAAGUCUUCACAACCAGCGAUAAAAACCCUCUUCCCACUCUCUGGUGCUGUCAGCUCGACAUCCUACUUUUCACUCCCUUUUACAUCAUUCCUCUCCUGCUACCUGCUUUUCAGUUGUGGAAGAGCAGAAAGAAGAAAGUAUCUAAAAUUGGACACUUGUCCGUGAUCAGAAUAUAAAGAAAACUAAGCACUACAGGACUCUAUUGUCAAGUACAAGCCACGCUGAUGCUUAGAUGACAUCCCACUCUUUCGCAGGAGACCCUGUGGUGUGGCUCAGAGAUAACAGUCUUUUCAGGGAUAUUCUUAUUAAGACAUUUUGCAUUUAUGUGACACUUUUUUAUCUUCAAAGGAAGAUAUUACAAAAAUUUAUUUACAAUACCCUAUAAAAAUGGGCCAUUAUUUUUUUCACUAUGUAGAUCAGACAAAUUAUGAAAAGUGAAAAAUUCGCCUUGGGCCAUAAAUAAAACAGUAAAAUAAG